This 763-nucleotide ribosomal RNA is filed under the name uncultured Streptococcus sp. RNAcentral describes it as "bacterial SSU rRNA". It matches the Rfam family "Bacterial small subunit ribosomal RNA", at positions 28 to 776 of the family's 1533-position model. The record is from RNAcentral. Lineage: Bacteria; Bacillati; Bacillota; Bacilli; Lactobacillales; Streptococcaceae.
GACGAACGCUGGCGGCGUGCGUAAUACAUGCAAGUAGAACGCUGAAGGAGGAGCUUGCUUCUCUGGAUGAGUUGCGAACGGGUGAGUAACGCGUAGGUAACCUGCCUGGUAGCGGGGGAUAACUAUUGGAAACGAUAGCUAAUACCGCAUAAUAGUAGAUGUUGCAUGACAUUUGCUUAAAAGGUGCAAUUGCAUCACUACCAGAUGGACCUGCGUUGUAUUAGCUAGUUGGUGGGGUAACGGCUCACCAAGGCGACGAUACAUAGCCGACCUGAGAGGGUGAUCGGCCACACUGGGACUGAGACACGGCCCAGACUCCUACGGGAGGCAGCAGUAGGGAAUCUUCGGCAAUGGACGGAAGUCUGACCGAGCAACGCCGCGUGAGUGAAGAAGGUUUUCGGAUCGUAAAGCUCUGUUGUAAGAGAAGAACGAGUGUGAGAGUGGAAAGUUCACACUGUGACGGUAUCUUACCAGAAAGGGACGGCUAACUACGUGCCAGCAGCCGCGGUAAUACGUAGGUCCCGAGCGUUGUCCGGAUUUAUUGGGCGUAAAGCGAGCGCAGGCGGUUAGAUAAGUCUGAAGUUAAAGGCUGUGGCUUAACCAUAGUACGCUUUGGAAACUGUCUAACUUGAGUGCAAGAGGGGAGAGUGGAAUUCCAUGUGUAGCGGUGAAAUGCGUAGAUAUAUGGAGGAACACCGGUGGCGAAAGCGGCUCUCUGGCUUGUAACUGACGCUGAGGCUCGAAAGCGUGGGGAGCAAACAGG